RNAcentral lists this ribosomal RNA (492 nucleotides) under uncultured bacterium. Its description in RNAcentral is "partial 16S ribosomal RNA". It matches the Rfam family "Bacterial small subunit ribosomal RNA", at positions 29 to 507 of the family's 1533-position model. The record is from RNAcentral.
AGUGAACGCUGGCGGUAGGCCUAACACAUGCAAGUCGAACGGCAGCACAGUAAGAGCUUGCUCUUACGGGUGGCGAGUGGCGGACGGGUGAGGAAUACAUCGGAAUCUACUUUUUCGUGGGGGAUAACGUAGGGAAACUUACGCUAAUACCGCAUACGACCUACGGGUGAAAGCAGGGGAUCUUCGGACCUUGCGCGAUUGAAUGAGCCGAUGUCGGAUUAGCUAGUUGGCGGGGUAAAGGCCCACCAAGGCGACGAUCCGUAGCUGGUCUGAGAGGAUGAUCAGCCAAACUGGAACUGGGGAAAGGGCCCGACUCCUACGGGAAGGAGCAGUGGGGAAAAGUGGACAAUGGGGGGAAAGCUUGACCAAGCAUACCGGGUGGGUGAAGAAGGCCUUCGGGUUGUAAAGCCCUUUUGUUGGGAAAGAAAAGCAGCAGGUUAAUACCCCGCUGUUCUGACGGUACCCAAAGAAUAAGCACCGGCUAACUUCGUG